UACAGAGGUCUCAAGCGUUGUUCGGAUUCAUUGGGCGUAAAGGGUGCGUAGGCGGCGCGGUAAGUCGGGUGUGAAAUCUCGGAGCUUAACUCCGAAACUGCAUUCGAUACUGCCGUGCUUGAGGACUGGAGAGGAGACUGGAAUUUACGGUGUAGCGGUGAAAUGCGUAGAUAUCGGAAAGAACAUCGAUGGCGAAGGCAGCUACCUGGGUCCAGACUGACACUUAAGUGCGAAAGCGUGGGGAGCAAACAGG
RNAcentral lists this ribosomal RNA (253 nucleotides) under uncultured bacterium. Its description in RNAcentral is "partial 16S ribosomal RNA". It matches the Rfam family "Bacterial small subunit ribosomal RNA", at positions 524 to 776 of the family's 1533-position model. The record is from RNAcentral.